RNAcentral lists this ribosomal RNA (497 nucleotides) under uncultured bacterium. RNAcentral describes it as "partial 16S ribosomal RNA". It matches the Rfam family "Bacterial small subunit ribosomal RNA", at positions 28 to 507 of the family's 1533-position model. The record is from RNAcentral.
GAUGAACGCUGGCGGCGUGCCUAAUACAUGCAAGUCGAGCGAACGGACGAGAAGCUUGCUUCUCUGAUGUUAGCGGCGGACGGGUGAGUAACACGUGGAUAACCUACCUAUAAGACUGGGAUAACUUCGGGAAACCGGAGCUAAUACCGGAUAAUAUAUUGAACCGCAUGGUUCAAUAGUGAAAGACGGUCUUGCUGUCACUUAUAGAUGGAUCCGCGCUGCAUUAGCUAGUUGGUAAGGUAACGGCUUACCAAGGCAACGAUGCGUAGCCGACCUGAGAGGGUGAUCGGCCACACUGGAACUGAGACACGGUCCAGACUCCUACGGGAGGCAGCAGUAGGGAAUCUUCCGCAAUGGGCGAAAGCCUGACGGAGCAACGCCGCGUGAGUGAUGAAGGUCUUCGGAUCGUAAAACUCUGUUAUUAGGGAAGAACAUAUGUGUAAGUAACUGUGCACAUCUUGACGGUACCUAAUCAGAAAGCCACGGCUAACUACGUG